RNAcentral lists this ribosomal RNA (241 nucleotides) under uncultured bacterium. RNAcentral's name for it is "partial 16S ribosomal RNA". It matches the Rfam family "Bacterial small subunit ribosomal RNA", at positions 100 to 334 of the family's 1533-position model. The record is from RNAcentral.
UAAACGGACGGGAGGGAAACCCGUACGGACCCGUCCAAAACGAGGGGGACAACAAGUGGAAACGACUGCUAAUACCGCAUAAGCCCACAGCUCGGCAUCGAGCAGAGGGAAAAGGAGUGAUCCGCUUUGAGAUGGCCUCGCGUCCGAUUAGCUAGUUGGUGAGGUAAUGGCCCACCAAGGCGACGAUCGGUAGCCGGACUGAGAGGAUGAACGGCCACAUUGGGACUGAGACACGGCCCAG